This 4189-nucleotide long non-coding RNA is filed under the name Homo sapiens (human). RNAcentral describes it as "HSALNT0265955". Lineage: Eukaryota; Metazoa; Chordata; Mammalia; Primates; Hominidae. The record is from RNAcentral.
AUGUAGUUUCAACUUUUUUUGUUGUUGUUGUUUUGUUUUCUAAAUUCUAAAUUAUGGGAAAGUUUUUUUUUUUUUUUGCCAUUGCAGAGUUCAGUAUUUGUUCUGCUAUUUUACUUCAGGUUUUUUCUCUAGAUACUUUAUUACCUAUAUGCUGAAUCUUUUUUGCCUAUUUGUCAUUUUUUAUUUUUUCUUUUUAUUUUUUCCUUUAUGUCUUUAUGACUAAAACAAAUUUCUCCUAUUUCUCUCAAUGCAUUGACUGCCUGUUAUUUGCCCUUGUGUUCCUUCCAGUUUAGCCCUCAUUUCUGAGAUGAUUUUCAUUUGUCCUGAAUUCUUUCCCAAGUCAUCUUUUUUCCAGGUUUCCCUUGCUUCUCUCUUCUCCCUCCACACAGACGCUGGUAUCACGCAGGGCCGUGGCCAUGGUGGUCACCUCCACUUGCUUUUACGUAGGGCCUAGAGGGUGGGGACUGUAUCAUCUAGUUUUGUUGUUUUUGGCCAUUUGCCCAUGUGUUUUUGGUUUUACUAUCUAAUUUCCAUGUUAUUUUUGUGUAGGAUUCAAGGAGAUUCAAAACCCGUGUCACUGCUGCCAUCUUCCUAGAAUCCCUUUAAAUCCUCAUGGAUUUGCUGACAUUGGGAGCAUCCUGAAAGAGUCCCCAUGCUAGGGUGGCUGCAGUAACAGGUUCUCCCCACUCCAGAAAAAAUCAAAUCAGAUUGUGAAUUUAUUCCCUGACAUUAACACACGGCAUUACAGGAGCAUGUACAUCACAUGGUCAAUUUAUUGGCAUGAGGAUUAUGUCAUCGGGGAAUAAAUGGGAAAUUCUCAAGGUGGCCCAGGCCUGUAGGCUUCCAGUGAGAAAACUGGAGACCACACUCACCCGUCCCACUGCCGUUUCUUUGGGGCUGCCUGUGAUACUGGGUUAUUCCCCUUGCCGAGUUCCACUGUGCUUACCCUGUUGGAAUAUGAUGGUGGACUUGCCAGAGGAGAUGACCAUGAUUUUCAGGAACAGCAGCCCCUCCUUCCUGGUUGAGGCAGCCAGCAGGCACUCCUAUCCAUGAGCCACAGCUCAGCUAAGGCAAUCCAGUCCAGCUGCAUGCCCUCUCUCUGCUUCUGGGGAGGUAGGAAGGACCAGGGGCAUUCAUGCUUGUUUCUAGGGGGCCCUAACUGGAUCUCUGGAUCAAGACCUACUCAGGGGAGAAAGACUACUCUGGGUUCCAUGUUAGGACUGACGGGUGCAUCUUAACUGAGAUGCAGACAGUGGACAAUUCGAACUCUGACCUGAGAGCAAGCCCCAGCCUUGGUGCUCAUAAAUGCUCCGCUUGGUCCUUCACAUUUGUGUUCCACACAGGAGAAGCCAAGUUGUGAGCAGUGCACCUUCACAAGCAAAGCCUCGACUGAAAUCUUCUCUAACAAUUGGCUGGUCACUCCUGAGCGUAAUCUACCCCUUCAGAACACUGGGGAUGAAUUUAGAGACAUCGAAGCCUCCUGAUGAGAAAUACGUGUCCACUCACCGGGAGAACUGAAAUACCAGGAGAUUUCUACACAAAUCUCACAGAGUCCUUCUGGCGUCCUAGGGGUUUGCUCACAUAUAAGGGACUUUCUGGUAGGAAGAGAGUCUCUUUACAUUCUUUAUUAUAUGAUCCUGGUGGCUUUGUAGAGAGAUGGUACAGCUGACAGAUCAUGUCCUGUGGGGCCAGGGAGUUGUGUGUGUGUGAAUGCUCUGUGAACUUGGGCAAACUACUUAGCCUCUCUGAGCCUUAGCUGCAUCAGCUUUGAAAAACAGGAUGAUAAAAUGGAGUCACCUUAUUUGACUUUUAUAAAUACACUUACACAAUUACACAAGUUGUGGGGAUGGGAAGAGAGAGUUGGGGAAAGAGAAAUGAGAGAGAGAGAGAGAGAGAAUGAAUGAUAAACAAUUUAAACAACAGUGGGGUGUAGACCAACGCCCAGCCUGGCAAGGGUGAGCCCAGAGAGCCUUCCCUCCUGGCUAUUGGCAGCCUCCGCAUGGAAGCCUGUCGUUGACUUCUUAAUGAUGAGAGAUGUUCUGGGGGCACUCCAGGAUUCUUGGACAUGGGAUCGUCUUCACAGCUGUGUCUAUUGAAAGCUGAAGUUUCAGUCUCCCCUGCCCCCUGCCCCCUGGAGUGGCUUCCCAGGGGAAAUUCAAGGGCACCUGUGACUGCAUGGCUGCUUUCCUUUCCUUUACUCAAUGCCGUCCUUUGGUGACAGCCGUGUCUCAUGCCAGGAUACAUGAGGUGCUCUAUAGUAGUAUGUUUUCCCUCCUGGGAGGUAAUUUUAUUUAAAUGUGAAGUCAAAAGGAUCACUAAAUAGAACCAUGAGGCAACCACUCUGGGCACCUGCCUGGUGAUAUCCACAAGAGCUGACCACAGGUGCCCCCUGUGCCCAGCAAGUCCUUGGCUGGGCAGUCACACAACAGGCAUGGGGAUGUGUGGCCACCAAGCCCUCCAGGGCAGUGCUAUUUGUAAUAGUCCCAAAUGGGAGAGAUGGCAAACGCCCGCCAAUGGGGCAGCAUGGAUAAAUGGAUGCUGCACAGCAACGGCGAUGAGUGAGCCCCAGCACCCGUGAGCUCACCAGUGUAAUAUUGGGUGGAAGAAGCCAGGAGGAAGGGCAUUCACAUUCUGUGAUUCCAGCUACACUAUGUUUAAAUAUGGGCAGAGCUAGGCUGUGGUGCUGGAAGCCAGGACAGUGGGAUCCUUGCAUGGGGGUGAUGGUGCUGGUAGGUUCUGGUAAUUUCCUCUUCUUGAUCUGGGUGUAAACAUUUUGUGAAAAUUCAAUGAGCUGUACAUUUAUGACUGGUACAUUUAUGACUUUGUAUGAAUAUUAUACUUUCAUAAAACUACUUUAAAAUAUGAUUGUGAACCUUUUUUCACCUAUUUUCUGCCAAUUAGCACCGAAUUGCUCACUAACUAAUGAGUGGUGCUGGUUUUGACUUGCUUGCUACACUGUCUUGAGACAGAUAGGGUUUUCUGUGCUUUGUAUGACCCCCUCUGGAACCAGGGUGGGACUGGGAACACUCGGAAAACAUGUGCUGACAGAUGCUGGGCAUCCCCGUGUUGGUGGAGGCAUGCUCAUUCCUCAGCAAAAUACCCAUAUGGGGUGUUGGCAGGAAAGAGGACAGAAAAGGACAAAGUAUUUGUCUCUGCUAGCGUUCCUGGAGCUGUCUCACCUUGGCCAAGCCCCCGCCCAGUCCUCUCCUAACGUGGACAGACUAGGGGGCAGAAACUAGUCAGCCAAAGAAUUUCCAAGCUAGGGGUUGAUGAAUGCUUGGAUAAUUUGCCCAUGAACACGUUGGAUUCUUCUUCACUUGCCAUCACGGGGGGAUAAGUACCCCAGUUUUUUUUUGGAGAGAAUUGAGGGACUGUGCCAUUGCAGUGUGGAUUUCAAGAGAUUUUAAACGGAAGGCAGAGUAACAGUGUGGUUUGGGAAGCUCUAAAGACAGUUGUCCUGGUGCGGUUUCUUCCAUAAAAGAGUGGGGACGCCAUGGACCUGCUCACCAAAUUCCAGUCCCGACACAGUUCUGUGAGGCACUCUCCACAUCAGGGCAGACGGGCAGGAGGAGUUUACACAGCGAUCUGGGGGCCAUUAGAGCACUGAGGGAUCCAUUGCUGUCUCUUGUUUCUGUUUCCCACACUGUGCUGGGUGCUGGGAACAUGACGAUGAACUUGAAGGAAAUAAUGUGUACGGUGGUUCAUUUCCAAGACAUAGUGCCUUGAAUCAGUUUAGGUCAGCAAACUACAGAAGAAACAGGAUAUACUAGGCCCCUGCUUGGAGAGCUGAUGCCUGUUUGUUGCCCCUCACCCCCUUAGUUGCCCUUACCAGAACCAAAGGAGUUUAGUCUAAGAUGAAAGUUUACUAGCCUGCAAAAUAGCUCACUUUGUCUGUUCUUAUCAGCCUGCCCAGCUACUUAGGUCAUAAGUGAAAUACUUGAAGAGCCCCUGAGCUAACUAGGAUUGCAAUGCAUUGUGGCUGCAACAAGAUGCAGCAAGACAACUGUAAAGAAAAUGCCUAAAACCCCUACCCACCAACCCAUAGGCGAUGUCCAGGAAGACUGUGACCUCCAUAGUACUCAGCAUUUGAGGAACUGGGGGAGGGACCUGUGCACUAGGGGAUAAAUUGCUUGUUGAAACUGUGCUGGGUGUGCCUGUCCAUCAGAUACCCUAUCUUGCAAGACUGUCG